This 734-nucleotide long non-coding RNA is filed under the name Homo sapiens (human). RNAcentral's name for it is "non-protein coding lnc-SVIL-3:1". The record is from RNAcentral. Lineage: Eukaryota; Metazoa; Chordata; Mammalia; Primates; Hominidae.
UGAAGAGAUAAAACUUAGCUUUACUAAGUUAAAUCAGAAGAGAAAAAGACAGAUCUAGAAGAUACUAUUUCCAAAACAUGUAUUCUAUAAACUGAAACGGAAAUGCAAGUGGCCAGCUUUCUUUUAUUCUUUCACCGGCCAAGGGGGAGCAACGUUUUGUGCAGGGCCACUUCACCACCAAGGACUCUGACCGCUUCUCCACCUCCAGGACAAGCACUGAGGCCAAUUCCACCUCCAAUCUGCUGGUCUUCCACAUUCACACAGGGCCAUUUCACCACCGACUCCUACUGCUUCUCUGCCUCCAAGAGGAGCACUGAGGCCAAUUUCGCCUCGAUUCUGAAUGUCUCCCACUUUGGUGUAGGGCCAUUUCACCACAGAGGACUCUGACCACUUCUCCACCUCCAGGAUGAGCACUGAGGCCGAUAUCACCUCCAUUCUGGUGGCCUCACACAGCAACUCGCUGCUGAACCCAGACAUCUUUGCUGAAGUCAGUUGACUGGACAGUACAGUGCAGGAUCUGCGUGUGGCACAGGGAAACGCAAGCCAGCUCCAGUACCAGCAGGUGUGCGCGAGGUACAAGAUGCUCUGCGUGGUGCCCCCAACCCACUCCUGUACACCUGGCAGGUGGACAAAACGCUCGACCUGGGCAGCAUCUCCUUCCCCAUCUAUAACCAUAGUGGACACCCCCUCUACCUGACCAGCUUCUUCAGAGGACACAUCUUUGGGGACAGCCU